ACUAAAUUGCUGAUGCUUGCCCUUGAACUUGGGAUCCUCUUGCCUCAGCCUCCUGAGUCACUGGGAUUACAGGUACUGUGUCUGGCUGGCACCAUUAAAAAAAUUUUUUUAGAUCUGCUGUUGGUUGAGUCUUCAGAUGCAGAACCCGUGGAUGCACAGGCUGGCUGGACAAUGAUGAGGAUGAAGAUGAGUGGGGGGCUGGGCUGGACUCAGUGGUACGGUGCUUGGGCAGCACAGGCCAGGCUGGUGUGCAAUUCCGAGCACUUAGCACAGAGACAAUCCAAUCAACUCUCUCCUCAUCUGAUCCCAGGAUCUGGUAAAGGCUCCCAGCAAUCUCCCAGCUUUCUCCUGAUCAGAGUUCAACAGUGAUUCUUUGUGGAGAGUUUGCUAGUUCUGGGUGCCAAUACUCUCUCCCACCAUGGCUGUUUCAGAGUUGGAAGAGGUGGUGAGGUCAGGCCUGUCCACUGGUGCCCCAGGCUCCCUGUACCUCCCACAGAGCACACCCCCAGCACAACUGCCUUCAAUUCUAAAAACACUGAGAGCUGUCCAGAAUGGAAGCUGCCUUACAUGUUUAGGGCACAAAGACUCCAUUUCCAGUGUACAAAGCUAAAGCCGCAACACUUCUAAACCUUGACCAAGAAACAGAACAAGGAGCUGCAGCCUGCUUGGUGCCGGGAUGAGAUCUUGACUUAAGAGGAAGGUGCUCUGAGCGGCAGAUGGACGGGCUCCAGGAGUGAGGCAGAAUCUGGCAUUGACGAAUCUGAGCUGUGUGGCCUUGGGCAACUGUCUUAAUUUCUCUGAGCCCCAUACCCCAUUCUGAAAUGUUCCAGACGAGAGAUUCAUAAAAGUUUUUACAGACUGAAAUCCACCCAGGGUCCGUGUACAAUUCAGAGUUUUGAUACAUUUGCAGAGUUGUACAGUCAUCACCCCAACCCAGUUUAAAAGCUCCUCCACUAUUAAGUUCCUCAUCACCAGCUUGCAGUCAAUUCCCUGUCCCAACCUCCCACCCCAGGCCACCGCAAAUCCACUUUCAGUCUCUCCAGAUUUGCUUCCUCUGGAAAUACCAUAUAAAUGAAACCAGACAGUCCUGCUGUGUCUAAAAUAAUUUUGCUUCUAACAUAUGUGAAUUGCAGAACCCAGAGAGUCACUCUGUUCAAGAAUGACUUUUGCAAACUUUGUUGUGAGGCCUGUGCAAGAAUUGAUUUCAGCAGCCGUGUCGAUAAGGUCUGCAGUGAGAUAAAGAAUAAAUCUCUCUGAAACCAGGCUAAGAAAUAACCGAUAGGGCAGUGACAAUGAAAGGAUAGAUUCUUCCUGCUACCUAUCUGGCUGAAUCUUUCUCUGAAAGAAGAGAUAGUAAGAGAUAUUCAAUGGAUACCACCGUAUGUAUUAAAAGAAUCAGAAGUAGGAAAGAGAACACUGGGGAUUUAUGCAUAGGCAUAAAAAUAAAAUUGAGCAGGAAAUGAUCCAAAAUGUGCCAUAGGGUUUCUGCUCUGCACUGGGGGAGGCUGCCGGUAAGGUGCAGCCAUGAAUUGUUUAAUGAUGAACUGCUUCUGGGCCUGGAUACUGGUAUGUGGGUGGUCAUUUUAUUGACUUUGAACUACAUGUGUACAUUUUCCUUCCCUCCUUCCUCCCUAGCUUCUUUUCUUCCUCUUUUUUAUAUUGGGAUUCAACCUAGGGCUGCUCUACCACUGAGCUACAUCCCCGGGCCUUUUUAUUCAUUAUUUUAAGACAGGGUCUUGCUAGGUUUCUGAGGCUGGCCUCCACCUUGUGGUCAUCCUGUCUCAGCCUCCCCAGUUGCUUGGAUUACAGAUGUUCACCACCACGCCGGGCAGUGGGUAGACAUUUUCAAAUGCAUGUGGGUAUCCAUAUUUCCUGAUUAAAAAAAAUUGAAAAAAAAUUGAAUUUUGAGAGAGCUGAGUCUUUCCUUAUCUCUGUUCUCUCCACUGGAAAGCAGGGACAGUGAUGUUUUAUUCUUUCUUUUAGUUGGAGGUUAGGAAACUGGUCCAUGGGUCAAAUCAAGCUGAGCUGAGAAGGAGUUCAUCAUGUGAUAUGUGAAAAUGACAUGAAGUGCAGAUUUUAAUGUUCUUAAGUAGUCUUAUGGGAUCUAGUCUGCCCAGCUGUUUAUACACUGCUACUGGAUUAAAAUCAUACUUGGGAUUUAGUGGAUGGAGGUGUGGAGCCAACAUAGCAUGUGACGAGCAUUUGCUUCCCCUCCUGGUCAGCUGAGGCACUGUCGGUCCCACGUGAUCUGGUUGCUUUUAAGUAACCUAAGAUGGUAGCCCCGAUCUUGAGGGUAGAGAAAAUACAAAUGUGUCUUCAUGCGUAGGCGCGCCUUCCUGCAGCCCCAGGGGUCGGGGUAUGCUCACCGGUUCCUUUGUGAUAUUACCCCC
Molecule: non-coding RNA, 2390 nt
Organism: Ictidomys tridecemlineatus (thirteen-lined ground squirrel)
Lineage: Eukaryota; Metazoa; Chordata; Mammalia; Rodentia; Sciuridae
Source: RefSeq, a predicted model, not a curated record